UUUCCUCUGAAAUGAAUUACUUGGCAGAGAGUAAGACUGAGAGAAGGGAGGUAAUUGUAAUUGAACUGCCCUCCCCCUCUUCUCUCCUCCACAUCCCUCCUGCCUCGAGUUAUUAUAUCUGCAGUGCAGGGAGACAUUUUUCAUCUGCACACAAACACACACGCCCUCACCCAGCCAAUCUUUCCCCAACCCCCACGCGUGGUGGCCUCAGCAGAGCGACGUAUUGAUGCAGGGCGAUUUUAGAGAUUGAUCGCUCAUGGGGGCAUGCACACCAGGACAUGCUGCACUCUUAUUUAUAAAACAGGGACUAUUCCCCUCUUUGCAGUGCCCUUUAGAUGGCCUGCCUGUAAUGCGCUGCAGGAGUUUGGAUCUGACUAAAGUAACAGUGGUGUUCAGUCUGAAAAUAGCUCUGGUUACCCCCUUUAUUAAUAACUGCCUGCUGACAGAUAGAACGCCUGAUGGAUUAAAGAGAUUUGUGUGUUUGCUCUUUUUUGUUUUGGCAACUGUUGAUAUUAGUCGGAUUGUUUUCCCUACUCUGCAUGUGCACAUUUCCUGCUUGCUGUACACCAACCAAUGGUCUUUCAGCAGCCAAGGCAUGGAAAACGGAGGAAGGGGGGUGAGUUAAAUGAGCUGCCAACCCUCAGCACCCAGACAGACAUGCACAUGCUUCAGUCCUAACUCAGCACACACAAUGGGAUCUAUUUCUGUAAAUGCACUCAGGCUAUCACCCCACUUACACCGACAACCCCCUCCUCACUGGCUGUCUAUUUCUGCUUGCCCCUUCUCUUUUUCCCAACAUGCUCAACUACUUUCUGCAACAUCAUGGCGGACAGAACCAGCAGGCUUGGGGUCAAGAGAAAAGAGAAAACAGUGGAAAACAGUGAGGAAAAGGAAACAGGAACAGAGAAAAUUGUGAAGAAACCCGACAAAGGUGGGAAAAAGCAAGAGAAGGCCCCAGAAGUGUCGAAGGCAGAUGAGAAGAAGAAUGGUGAAAGUGGGGGGGCAACUGGCGCAGAGGCCAAUAAAAGUGAGGAUAAUGGAGAGUAUCAGGCCAUAGAGCUCCCUCCUUUUGAGAUUAUCAAAGGGGAACGGAUGAGCCCCUUCUACUUCAAGUUUCAGUUCAGGAAUGUGGAGUAUUCGUCGGGGAGGAACAAAACACUGUUGUGUUUCAGAGUGGACACAGCAGGAGGUGACACAGAGCCUCUGAAAGGUUACAUGGAGGAUGAACACGCCACCGCCCACGCUGAGGAGGCCUUCUUUCAGCAGGUGCUGCCUAACUCCUCCAAAGAAUACGACGUCACGUGGUUCGUAUCAUCCAGCCCCUGCACUGCCUGUGCCGCCAAGCUGGCCAACGUUCUGCAGCAACGCAAAAAGGUUCGCCUCACCAUCUUCUGCUCCCGCCUCUUUGAGUGGGAGGAGCCAGAGAUAAGGGAAGGCCUCAAGGCUCUGGCGAGGGCCGGGUGCAAACUGCGAAUGAUGAAGCCUGCUGACUUCCAGCUGGUUUGGGAAAUGUACGUGGAAAAGGAGGACGAAACCUUCACGCCGUGGGAAGACUGCAAAGACAACUACGAGUACUAUCUGGAGAAACUGGGUGAUAUCCUCAACUAGACGUUUCCUCUGACUGAACCAAAAACACACACGUGUUUUCUUUGCAGUGAGAUGAUUGAAUGAACACUUGUGUUUUAAAAGAGAUUCACAGAAGAGUCACUGCAAUCUCCUGAAGGACCCCCACCUUGCCGGUUGUCCCUCUCAGAAAAAGCUAAACCACAACAUCCUGUUUCAACAGAAAAGUUUCUAUAAAAAGGAAGCACUCAUGCUAACUAAAGCUGAAACCUUUUCUUUUUAAAGUCAUAAAAACAGAAUUUUUUUUAUUAAUCCAGUACUAAUUUCUUCUAAAUGUGAAAGAAAAAACAAAAGCCCACUGACCUUUAACAUCCAGUUGUAUUUUAUUACUUUGUACCGUUGAUGUUUUCUGACCUCUGCUGGCUUUGCAUGAAUAGCUGCCUUUAUCAGAGGCAGCCAGUGUGAAGCUGGAUGAUGCACCAGACAGAAGAAGCUCAUUGUUAUCUUUGUACCACUGAUAACUCCAGUCGGAGGAAACAUCAACGCUGCAAGUGAAGGUCAUUGUUUCUCCAACAUACAUUGGGACAAAAUCAAGAUUCCUUCUCAGUUUUGGAGUCGGCAUGUUUGCUGGAAAAAAGAAAUAAAGUCAGGAACUUUUCCUCUUUACAAAA
Molecule: RNA transcript, 2234 nt
Organism: Nothobranchius furzeri (turquoise killifish)
Lineage: Eukaryota; Metazoa; Chordata; Actinopteri; Cyprinodontiformes; Nothobranchiidae
Gene: apobec2b
Gene name: apolipoprotein B mRNA editing enzyme, catalytic polypeptide-like 2b
Source: RefSeq, a predicted model, not a curated record